Molecule: RNase P RNA, 326 nt
Filed under: Flavobacteriales bacterium
Lineage: Bacteria; Pseudomonadati; Bacteroidota; Flavobacteriia; Flavobacteriales
Description: RNase P RNA component class A
Rfam family: Bacterial RNase P class A
About the family: Ribonuclease P (RNase P) is a ubiquitous endoribonuclease, found in archaea, bacteria and eukarya as well as chloroplasts and mitochondria.
Source: RNAcentral
UGAGCAGGUCUCCUUAUCGCUGUGUGUCGAAUUUAUUCAGGUGCACAGAGGAAAGUCCGGACACCAUAGUGCGGCAUAGCGGGUAACGCCCGUCGUCCCGCUUCUGGCGGGAUAGGACCAGUGCAACAGAAAGGAUGUACAGGUGAAGCUGUAGUGAAAUCAUGUAAACUCUAUGCGGUGAAACGUCAUGUAAAUCGGUGCUUGAGGGCUGCACGCCCGAGCCGAAGGGUAGGCGGUUUGAGCUUAUGGGCAACCAUUGGCCUAGAUAAAUGAUAGGGGAGUCCCAUUGGGACUUUACAGAAUCCGGCUUACGGCCUGCUUUUUUU